Molecule: ribosomal RNA, 484 nt
Filed under: uncultured bacterium
Lineage: Bacteria
Description: partial 16S ribosomal RNA
Rfam family: Bacterial small subunit ribosomal RNA
Source: RNAcentral
AUUGAACGCUGGCGGCAUGCUUUACACAUGCAAGUCGAACGGCAACGCGGGCUUCGGCCUGGUGGCGAGUGGCGAACGGGUGAGUAAGGCACCGGAACGUGCCCAGCAGUUGGGGAUAGCCCAGCGUAAGGCGGAUUAAUACCGCAUACGACCAGAUGGUGAAAGGGGGGGACCGAAAGGCCUCGCGGUAUUUGAGCGGCCGUAGCCGGGUUUGCUAGUUGGUGGGGUAAAGGCUUACCAAGGCGACGAUCCGUAGCUGAUCUGAGUGGACGACCGGCCACACUGGAACUGAGACACGGCCCAGACUCCUACGGGAGGCAGCAGUGGGGAAUUUUCGGCAAUGGGGGCAACCCUGACCCAGCCAUGCCGCGUGCGGGAAGAAGGCCUUCGGGUUGUAAACCGCUUUUGUUCGGGAAGAACACAUCUGGGCUAAUACCCCGGGGGGAUGACGGUACCGGAAGAAUAAGCACCGGCUAACUACGUG